Molecule: ribosomal RNA, 601 nt
Filed under: uncultured bacterium
Lineage: Bacteria
Description: bacterial SSU rRNA
Rfam family: Bacterial small subunit ribosomal RNA
Source: RNAcentral
CCUACGGGAGGCAGCAGUGGGGAAUAUUGGGCAAUGGAGGAAACUCUGACCCAGCGACGCCGCGUGCGGGAUGAAGGCCUUCGGGUUGUAAACCGCUUUCAGUAGGGAAGAAGCGAAAGUGACGGUACCUACAGAAGAAGCACCGGCUAACUAUGUGCCAGCAGCCGCGGUAAUACAUAGGGUGCAAGCGUUGUCCGGAAUUAUUGGGCGUAAAGAGCUCGUAGGUGGUUCGUCACGUCGGAUGUGAAAAUCUGGGGCUCAACCCCAGACCUGCAUUCGAUACGGGCGAUCUAGAGUGUGGUAGGGGAGACUGGAAUUCCUGGUGUAGCGGUGGAAUGCGCAGAUAUCAGGAGGAACACCAAUGGCGAAGGCAGGUCUCUGGGCCAUUACUGACACUGAGGAGCGAAAGCGUGGGGAGCGAACAGGAUUAGAUACCCUGGUAGUCCACGCCGUAAACGGUGGGCACUAGUUGUGGGAACCUUCCACGGUUUCUGCGACGCAGCUAACGCAUUAAGUGCCCCGCCUGGGGAGUACGAUCGCAAGAUUAAACUCAAAUGAAUUGACGGCUUGAGACGNGCGACGGCGACGACGAGGGAGGAGG